Molecule: ribosomal RNA, 479 nt
Filed under: uncultured bacterium
Lineage: Bacteria
Description: partial 16S ribosomal RNA
Rfam family: Bacterial small subunit ribosomal RNA
Source: RNAcentral
GAUGAACGCUAGCGGGAGGCCUAACACAUGCAAGCCGAGCGGUAGAGAUUCUUCGGAAUCUUGAGAGCGGCGUACGGGUGCGGAACACGUGUGCAACCUGCCUUUAUCAGGGGGAUAGCCUUUCGAAAGGAAGAUUAAUACCCCAUAAUAUAUUUGAUGGCAUCAUUAGAUAUUGAAAGCUUUGGCGGAUAGAGAUGGGCACGCGCAAGAUUAGAUAGUUGGUGAGGUAACGGCUCACCAAGUCGAUGAUCUUUAGGGGGCCUGAGAGGGUGAUCCCCCACACGGGUACUGAGACACGGACCAGACUCCUACGGGAGGCAGCAGUGAGGAAUAUUGGACAAUGGGUUAGCGCCUGAUCCAGCCAUCCCGCGUGAAGGACGACGGCCCUAUGGGUUGUAAACUUCUUUUGGACAGGGAUAAACCUACUCUCGUGAGAGUAGCUGAAGGUACUGUACGAAUAAGCACCGGCUAACUCCGUG